GGAGUUUGAUCCUGGCUCAGGACGAACGCUGGCGGCGCGCCUAACACAUGCAAGUCGAACGAGCGAGAGAGAGCUUGCUUUCUCGAGCGAGUGGCGAACGGGUGAGUAACGCGUGAGGAACCUGCCUCAAAGAGGGGGACAACAGUUGGAAACGACUGCUAAUACCGCAUAAGCCCACGGUGCCGCAUGGCACAGAGGGAAAAGGAGCAAUCCGCUUUGAGAUGGCCUCGCGUCCGAUUAGCUAGUUGGUGAGGUAACGGCCCACCAAGGCGACGAUCGGUAGCCGGACUGAGAGGUUGAACGGCCACAUUGGGACUGAGACACGGCCCAGACUCCUACGGGAGGCAGCAGUGGGGAAUAUUGCACAAUGGGGGAAACCCUGAUGCAGCGACGCCGCGUGGAGGAAGAAGGUCUUCGGAUUGUAAACUCCUGUUGUUGGGGAAGAUAAUGACGGUACCCAACAAGGAAGUGACGGCUAACUACGUGCCAGCAGCCGCGGUAAAACGUAGGUCACAAGCGUUGUCCGGAAUUACUGGGUGUAAAGGGAGCGCAGGCGGGAAGACAAGUUGGAAGUGAAAUCUAUGGGCUCAACCCAUAAACUGCUUUCAAAACUGUUUUUCUUGAGUAGUGCAGAGGUAGGCGGAAUUCCCGGUGUAGCGGUGGAAUGCGUAGAUAUCGGGAGGAACACCAGUGGCGAAGGCGGCCUACUGGGCACCAACUGACGCUGAGGCUCGAAAGUGUGGGUAGCAAACAGGAUUAGAUACCCUGGUAGUCCACACCGUAAACGAUGAUUACUAGGUGUUGGAGGAUUGACCCCUUCAGUGCCGCAGUUAACACAAUAAGUAAUCCACCUGGGGAGUACGACCGCAAGGUUGAAACUCAAAGGAAUUGACGGGGGCCCCACAAGCAGUGGAGUAUGUGGUUUAAUUCGACGCACCGCGAAGAACCUUACCAAGUCUUGACAUCCCUUGACAGACUUAGAAAUAUGUUUUCCUUUCGAACAAGGAACAAGGGGGGGCAUGGUUGUCGCCACCUCCUGGCCGGGAAAAUUUGGGGUUAAUUCUCCCAACAAGGCGAACCCUUAUGGUGGGUUUCUUCCCAAAAGGACUCUGGCCCAAUUGCCUUGAAAAACAGAAGAAGGGGGGGGGUGGGGGCAAAACACCACGGCCUUUUUGAUUUGGGCUACACACGUACUACAAUGGCGUUAAACAAAGAGAAGCAAGACCGCGAGGUGGAGCAAAACUCAGAAACAACGUCCCAGUUCGGACUGCAGGCUGCAACUCGCCUGCACGAAGUCGGAAUUGCUAGUAAUCGUGGAUCAGCAUGCCACGGUGAAUACGUUCCCGGGCCUUGUACACACCGCCCGUC
This 1368-nucleotide ribosomal RNA is filed under the name uncultured bacterium. RNAcentral's name for it is "bacterial SSU rRNA". It matches the Rfam family "Bacterial small subunit ribosomal RNA". The record is from RNAcentral.